Molecule: ribosomal RNA, 496 nt
Filed under: uncultured bacterium
Lineage: Bacteria
Description: partial 16S ribosomal RNA
Rfam family: Bacterial small subunit ribosomal RNA
Source: RNAcentral
GAUGAACGCUGGCGGCGUGCCUAAUACAUGCAAGUCGAGCGAACGGACGAGAGGCUUGCUUCUCUGAUGUUAGCGGCGGACGGGUGAGUAACACGUGGAUAACCUACCUAUAAGACUGGGAUAACUUCGGGAAACCGGAGCUAAUACCGGAUAAUAUUUUGAACCGCAUGGUUCAAAAGUGAAAGACGGUCUUGCUGUCACUUAUAGAUGGAUCCGCGCUGCAUUAGCUAGUUGGUAAGGUAACGGCUUACCAAGGCAACGAUGCAUAGCCGACCUGAGAGGGUGAUCGGCCACACUGGAACUGAGACACGGUCCAGACUCCUACGGGAGGCAGCAGUAGGGAAUCUGCCGCAAUGGGCGAAAGCCUGACGGAGCAACGCCGCGUGAGUGAUGAAGGUCUUCGGAUCGUAAAACUCUGUUAUUAGGGAAGAACAUAUGUGUAAGUAACUGUGCACAUCUUGACGGUACCUAAUCAGAAAGCCACGGCUAACUACGU